RNAcentral lists this long non-coding RNA (1081 nucleotides) under Chinchilla lanigera (long-tailed chinchilla). RNAcentral's name for it is "lncRNA (ENSCLAG00000026060.1)". The record is from RNAcentral. Lineage: Eukaryota; Metazoa; Chordata; Mammalia; Rodentia; Chinchillidae.
CCGCUAGUAGGAUCUCACAAAAGCUUCAAUAGGAGAGAACAAAGCUGCGUUAAAGGUCAGAAUGAGAAGACUAGAAAUGGGUGGUUCAGCGAGAGCCCAGGCACUAACCUGAUAGACCUGGUUUUGCACAACUUAGAACUAUGUAGAAAAUAAUAUUAAAUCACUCGAAGGAAGUUUGUGUUGGAAAAGGUGACUAACAGAUUCCUGGCUAUGAAAAUAAAGAAACUGCUGGCAUUUUAAACUCCAGUAAGGAGAGAGAGGAGGAUUAGUUGGGCAUGAGGAGAAGUAAUGAACUACAGCCGAGUAUAUUAAUUUCAUGUGCUCAUGAGACGUCUGACAAAGAUGUCAAGAAAUUCUUUUCUCCCACAGAUAACUGUUCCCCCCGAGAAGCUCUUCAAUACUCAUCUGUCAUGAAGAAAACGUAUUGGAAAAUGAAAGCACGAAAAAUUCUCCUGAGAUGUAGAUGCCAUCUAAAUUUCUCUUUACAAUUCUGUUAUUUGCAUGCUAAUAGCUGCCUAUCUAACUCCGGAGCAAGAAAAAUGCGACUUUAUUUGAAGUCACAUCACAGUCUGACAGUUGAUUUCAUCAUCACAAAUGAAAAACAGAAGGACAGUAGGACAAGAAGAGCCAACGAAAACAGAGGAAAAAGUGGGGAGAGAGUGGAGGGAAUGGAGAGAAACUGUAUACAGGGGGUAGAAAGAAGUGUCCCUCGCAAGAGCGCCUCGUCACCAGGAAAGCGAUCAUGUACCGCUUCUGCCUUUCAGAAGUUUCCGGAGCUUGAGGGCGGAGCUGUGCCUGGGACGCAGCUGAUCUACUUCUGGGUGAUGGGGUUCAUCUAGUACUGCAGCCUAGCCUGGUGCACACGAGAAUAUUUUUAAAGUCCUUUUUCCUCUGACUAACUCAUAUAUUAAAAAUAAACUGCUGUAGAAGUCUUUGCUUUCUGAUGACUUUGGCGAGCUUGCUGUUUUAACGAGGCCAUUGCAGAAUCUGUUUUAUUAUACAAAAUCCUCUUUUGAUAUACUUAGAGCCUAGACAAAGUCAAUCUGAGAACUUCAAAGAAGAUAAUAAGGAAGGAAAGUUA